GUCUACGACCAUACCACCCGGAAAACACCGGUUCUCGUCUGAUCACGGAAGUUAAGCCUGGUCGGGCGAAGUUAGUACUUGGAUGGUGACCGCCUGGGAAUACUUCGUGUUGUAGACU
This 118-nucleotide ribosomal RNA is filed under the name Paramuricea clavata. The record is from RNAcentral. Lineage: Eukaryota; Metazoa; Cnidaria; Anthozoa; Malacalcyonacea; Plexauridae.